This 786-nucleotide long non-coding RNA is filed under the name Hordeum vulgare. RNAcentral describes it as "long non-coding RNA (HVUL_LNC015248)". The record is from RNAcentral. Lineage: Eukaryota; Viridiplantae; Streptophyta; Magnoliopsida; Poales; Poaceae.
CCGCCGCCGCCGCCGCCGGAUGGUCGGACUAAGCAGGGCCGUCGGGGAAGGAGGGAGGAGAGGGGGAGGAAGAGAAAGGAGGGAGGAAGAAGCCGACAGAUGCUGGAGCCAACGGCGGCGGACGGUGGCGGUCAACCCGAGCCAGUGAGUCCAAGAUGCUGCCGGCUGAUGCUCGUCUCGAUUGUGUUCGGGAUGACUCUGUCGGGAGAAACACCAGCGAAUUGGUACGUAAUGGGAUGUCGUUGUGGUAAUUUGGAUGAGAAUUUGCCCUCCCCAGCUGGAAUCCGGGCUCGAGCGGCUUUGCAAUUUGCACUGAACUGAAGCUGGUGCUUCUCCGAAUCUGCUGCGAGUUUUAACGCGUUUAGUUGGCUUCUGGCUUUUUGACAGCUAAAGUUGGAUUUGGAAGUCCAAUCAAACACAGCCUUAGCAGUAGUUCUCGGUAGCUAUGAAUCACUACUACUACUUAGUAGUAGCGCGAAGUUAAAUCUAGCGCUACUCCUAAAUAAAUAGGAACAUCACGGGUAGGCAGGACGUCGCUACUGCUAAGUGGUCCCAUCGUCACCCACCAAGGCUAUCUAUGGUAGCAUCGCUUGGCUAAAACCGACGCUACUAUUGUUAACUUAGUAGUAGCGUGUGUCGGUGGCCCAUCGCUACCGUUAUGGUUGCACGGUACUAGCAGGUGGGUCUCACUUAGCAGCAAUGCUGGGCCAUCGACACGCGCUACUGCUAUAGUGCUUAGCAGCAGCGUGGUUCUGCAUCCCGCGCUACUGCUAUCCCGCAGCCACC